Molecule: ribosomal RNA, 830 nt
Filed under: uncultured bacterium
Lineage: Bacteria
Description: partial 16S ribosomal RNA
Rfam family: Bacterial small subunit ribosomal RNA
Source: RNAcentral
GGGUUAACACCCGCAAGUGGGGGGGGUAACACGAUUUAAAAUUUUUCUUAAUUGUGGGGGGCCCCGGGGGUGGGGGAGUGACACAUGUUUCCACCUCUCCGUUACACACGGGGGAUCCCUUUGAAAGAGAGAGUUAAAUACCGGAGGGGUUAGUGAGAGCGCAUGCUUUUUUUGCUAAAGAUUUAUUGGUUUAGGAGGGGAUGGCUUUCCAUAGGUUAGUGGUAAGGGUAACGCCUUACCAAGUCAGCGAAUGAUAGGGGGUCUGAGAGGAAGACCCCCCCACAUGGAACUGAGACACGGUCCCAACUCCUACGGGAGGCAGCAGUGAGGAAUUUUGGUCAAUGGGCGCAAUGCCUGAACCAGCCAAGUAGCGUGAAGGAAGACUGCCCUUAGGGUUGUAAACUUCUUUUAUAAGGGAAUAACGAUAGCAACGAGUUGCUAUUUGCAUGUACCUUACGAAUAAGGAUCGGCUAACUCCGUGCCAGCAGCCGCGGUAAUACGGAGGAUCCAAGCGUUAUCCGGAUUUAUUGGGUUUAAAGGGUGCGUAGGCGGGAAAGGAAGUCAGUUGUGAAAUGUAGUGGCUCAACCUCUGCACUGCAGCGCGAACUGGUCUUCUUGAGUACGCACAACGUGGGCGGAAUUCGUGGUGUAGCGGUGAAAUGCUUAGAUAUCACGAAGAACUCCGAUUGCGAAGGCAGCUCACGGGAGCGCAACUGACGCUGAAGCUCGAAAGUGCGGGUAUCGAACAGGAUUAGAUACCCUGGUAGUCCGCACGGUAAACGAUGGAUGCCCGCUGUUGGCCUGAAUAGGUCAGCGGCCAAGCGAAAGCA